RNAcentral lists this unclassified non-coding RNA (334 nucleotides) under soil metagenome. Its description in RNAcentral is "partial contains 5.8S ribosomal RNA, internal transcribed spacer 2, and large subunit ribosomal RNA". The stretch from base 1 to 120 matches the Rfam family "5.8S ribosomal RNA", at positions 35 to 154 of the family's 154-position model. The record is from RNAcentral.
GAUGAAGAACGUAGCGAAAUGCGAUAAGUAGUGUGAAUUGCAGAAUUCAGUGAAUCAUCGAAUCUUUGAACGCACAUUGCGUCCCUUGGUAUUCCAUGGGGCAUGCCUGUUCGAGCGUCAUUUGUACCUUCAAGCUUUGCUUGGUGUUGGGUGUUUGUCCAUUCUCUUGCAGAGGGACUCGCCUUAAAGUAAUUGGCAGCCAGUGUUUUGGUUUUGAAGCGCAGCACAAGUCGCGAUUCAACGCUAUACGCCAGCUUCCACAAGCCUUUUUCACUUUUGACCUCGGAUCAGGUAGGGAUACCCGCUGAACUUAAGCAUAUCAAUAAGCGGAGGA